CCUGUCUCCUCCUGCCUCAGCCUGUCUCCUCCUACCUCAGCCUGUCUCCUCCUACCUCAGCCUGUCUUCUCCUACCUGAACCUGUCUCCUCCUACCUCAGCAUGUCUCCUCCUACCUCAGCCUGUCUCCUCCUACCUACAGACUCAGGCUAGAUUAGUCUCACUGGGAGGGGGAGACUUGGCAGUAAACUGGAGUCAGGCUAGAUUAGUCUCACUGGGGGGGGAAGACUUGGCAGUAAACUGGAGUCAGGCUAGAUUAGUCUCACUUAGGGAGGGACAGGCAGUAAACUGGAGUCAGACUAGAUUAGUGGGGGAGGGACAGGCAGUAAACUGGAGUCAGACUAGAUUAGUGGGGGAGGGACAGGCAGUAAACUGGAGUCAGACUAGAUUAGUAGGGGAGGGACAGGCAGUAAACUGGAGUCAGACUAGAUUAGUGGGGGAGGGACAGGCAGUAAACUGGAGCAGACUAGAUUAGUAGGGGAGGGACAGGCAGUAAACUGGAGUCAGACUAGAUUAUUGGGGGAGGGACAGACAGUAAACUGGAGUCAGACUAGAUUAUUGGGGGAGGGACAGACAGUAAACUGGAGUCAGACUAGAUUAGUGGGGGAGGGACAUUACAAUCAGAUUUUCCCAGCUAGUGACAGCGGGUUUGACUCCAAGUCCUUGACUGCUGGUGUCAUUGAGUCUUGUGUAGAGUACAGUAUACUUAUGAGAUGAGUAAUAUAGGGUAUAUAAACAUUAUAUAAGGUGGCUAGUGAUACAUGUAUUACAUCUACGUUUCCAUUAUUAAAGUGGCUGGAUAGUUGAGUCAGUGUGUUGGCAGCAGAAUCUCAGGGAUCUUUAACUGCUGAGUUGUGAGAUGACCUGCUACAUUUCCAGGAUAUUCAUCUUUCUUUAAUCUACUUCAAGCAUCCGAGUUUAAAGCUUCACAAGGUGUUAUAAGGAUGUAUAAGCCGAG
Oncorhynchus tshawytscha (Chinook salmon) is the source of this 957-nucleotide long non-coding RNA. The record is from Ensembl. NCBI's taxonomy places the organism in Eukaryota, Metazoa, Chordata, Actinopteri, Salmoniformes, Salmonidae.